Triplophysa dalaica is the source of this 834-nucleotide long non-coding RNA. RefSeq lists it as uncharacterized. The record is from RefSeq and is a predicted model, not a curated record. NCBI's taxonomy places the organism in Eukaryota, Metazoa, Chordata, Actinopteri, Cypriniformes, Nemacheilidae. The transcript has 3 exons.
GAUGCCUCCGAGCCCACUCUCUGGAGUAUAUAUCUACUCACGCCCCUGGACUCAUGAAAGCGUCUCGUUUCCGUCGAAUUUGUCUGUGCAUGAACAACAUUUAACAUCAAUAUUUUCAGAAAGCAUCAAUUUGUAUUUGAGGUCUGAAAAAUAUGGAGCAUCCUUUAUUUUGACCGGCAUACCUAUAAACAGUCAUCACACAACAUGAAGACGUCACUGCGGAGCUCGAGGAGUCUAAGCAGCAUUCAGCGAGAGAGAUCAGUGUGAAUAUGGGGGAGGCUGAUCCUGAAUCAGAGUCUCUGCUCACCAAAAUCACACAGCUUCAAGACAUCAUUGGAGCUGAUGAGCAGGUUUUCAGGCUUGAUGUCUGCAAAUUAGAUCAAAGGGAAACAAAAAAAUCUUCCUGAACGUAUGUUUUGAUGUAAUGCAAAAAUAGAAAGCAAAGGUCUCAGUUUUGAUUUCAUAUAAUACCUCACAUGUUCUGUUACACCAGUUUUUAGCCAUUUGUCACAUCUUGUUUGGAAAGAAGCAAAAACUCUCUUACUCACAGACUACUCUUAAAUUUUCUAAAAAUAAGAAAAGUGACACAUUUUUAAAAUUUGAUAUCACAAUAAAGUACAACUAAGGUAUAAUGUUUUGUGCAAUGUGUAUUUAUAAUUUUAUCUUUUUAAUUUUGUUAAAUUUUCUUAAACAUUACUUGAAUAGUUGACAUCAUUUUCUCCCCGUAGUGUAGAGGUAUUGUCCGGAUUGUCAACCUAUUUGUUGUUUGAUUCUUGAUUUUAAAUUAUAUUUUGUUUUUGUUAUGAGCAACAAUAGUUUGCUAAUUUACCUUAU